This 500-nucleotide ribosomal RNA is filed under the name uncultured ammonia-oxidizing beta proteobacterium. RNAcentral describes it as "bacterial SSU rRNA". It matches the Rfam family "Bacterial small subunit ribosomal RNA", at positions 157 to 644 of the family's 1533-position model. Lineage: Bacteria; Pseudomonadati; Pseudomonadota; Betaproteobacteria. The record is from RNAcentral.
UGGAGGAAAGUAGGGGAUCGAGAGAAGCAGGGGAUGGAGGAAAGUAGGGGAUCGAAAGACCUUAUGCUUUUGGAGCGGCCGAUGUCUGAUUAGCUAGUUGGUGGGGUAAUUGCCUACCAAGGCGACGAUCAGUAGUUGGUCUGAGAGGACGACCAGCCACACUGGGACUGAGACACGGCCCAGACUCCUACGGGAGGCAGCAGUGGGGAAUUUUGGACAAUGGGCGCAAGCCUGAUCCAGCAAUGCCGCGUGAGUGAAGAAGGCCUUCGGGUUGUAAAGCUCUUUCAGUCGAGAAGAAAAAGCUGCAGUGAGUAACUGUAGUUCAUGACGGUAUCGACAGAAGAAGCACCGGCUAACUACGUGCCAGCAGCCGCGGUAAUACGUAGGGUGCGAGCGUUAAUCGGAAUUACUGGGCGUAAAGGGUGCGCAGGCGGCUUUGUAAGUCAGAUGUGAAAUCCCCGGGCUUAACCUGGGAAUUGCGUUUGAAACUACAAAGCUAG